GAUGAACGCUAGCGGCAGGCUUAACACAUGCAAGUCGAGGGGCAGCGCGUUUGUAGCAAUACAGAUGGCGGCGACCGGCGCAAGGGUGCGUAACGCGUGAGCAACAUGCCCGUAUCAGGGGGAUAAGCGAUGGAAACGUCGUCUAAUACCGCAUAACAACAGAUGGGACAUCCCAUUUGUUUGAAAGAUACGUCGGAUACGGAUUGGCUCGCGAGACAUUAGCUAGACGGCGGGUAACGGCCCACCGUGGCGACGAUGUCUAGGGGUUCUGAGAGGAAGGUCCCCACACUGGAACUGAGACACGGUCCAGACUCCUACGGGAGGCAGCAGUGAGGAAUAUUGGACAAUGGUCGGAAGACUGAUCCAGCCAUGCCGCGUGAAGGCAGACGGUCCUAUGGAUUGUAAACUUCUUUUGUACGGGAGCAAUAAGGGCGUCGUGACGUCCGAUGAGAGUACCGUACGAAUAAGCAUCGGCUAACUCCGUGCC
Molecule: ribosomal RNA, 487 nt
Filed under: uncultured bacterium
Lineage: Bacteria
Description: bacterial SSU rRNA
Rfam family: Bacterial small subunit ribosomal RNA
Source: RNAcentral